AUUUACUAGUGAGGCAAAAAGUCUGAUAACAGAUUUAGAUCAAGAGACAAUUUAAGAAUUGGAUAAUCCAACAAAAGGUGAUAAAAUUACUGUUUUUAAAUAAGCUUACCUUGAAGAUUUAUAUUUCUCUUCAUAUAGUCAAUUGAAUUUUUGUAAUAAAAAUGACACAAAUAUCAAAUUCUAUUCCUGUGGAAUUGAAGUGUACGAGGAUGGUCCCAGGAUAGAUGACUUAGUUCAGGUAAUGAAGUCUGCACUUUGUAAAUUAUUUGAACUGAAUCCAAUGGUCUCCUGAUGGCACUAACGCACUAAUAGUUUUUUUAUCCAGUUUUGGGGGUAUCCGAUUACGAUUUCAAACGAUUACGAUUGAAAAAGAAACGAAGAAGACAUCACGUGUAUCAAAUUCGCUACUUUAUUUUCAAAAUAUAAAGAAAAAUAUUUAGAUUGUUAUAUGUAAAAGCAUUAUUGUGCAUCAGUCGCUUGUCGUAGCACUAAGAAUGCAAGAAUCUAUGGUGAUAGACACGGAAGAUCGACGGUAGACAUGACCAUCAGGAGAGCACUGAAUAAGGCCUUAUACUUCCCCUCUGCUUAUCAUGCACUAGAUAGGUAACCUUUCUGGUUAUUAUUAAUCGUUAUAUAGUCAGAGCAAGAGCAUUUUACACAUUUAGUUUUAUGAUGAAUUAGAUAUUCUAGUCAUUGCUUUGUGAAUAACAAGUCUGUUCUGCACUUGAUGCUUUUUGAUUCACAUAAUAGUGCCUAUUUUUUUCAUACUUGUAUCAGUAGUAUCUCUAUUGGAAAACUGGUUAGAACCUGGAGCUCCGAUUUAUGUCAAAAUAAUUAGAUAAAUAGAUUUUGUGGAGGUGUUUGGUGACUUGUUCCACUGCAACUUUUACAGAUCUAUUGUGGUUCUAUUAAUCUAUAUUCUCGAGUCUUAUUCUUCUUUUGAAGCUUAUCAGCCUUGAGACUAAACCUUUUCAUGUAGCUGCUUGUCAGUGAUUUUUGUAAACCUAGCACUGAGAACUGCACAUUUGAUAAACUGUCAUGGUAAUAGUUUCUUCCACUAAUCGACCCACAUAAUCUACAUAAAGAAAUUAAGGACUUAGUUAUUGAUUUUGCAGAAGGGUUUAAAAUAACAAAUAUUUUAAUAAAUUCAUUGUAAGUAUAUUUUUAGCUCUAAUGAAUGUACUUACGGGAUGUUCCAAGUUGACUACCCUAAUAGUGCGUUGUAGUCGUGCAGUAACUGAUGAAGUUGUGGAUCACCUAGUGAAUAAUUGCCCUCGUUUGUCGAAAAUAGAUAUUAGCGGAUGCAAAAAUGUAACUCCUGAAGGCUUCGCACACCUUGAAAGAUUAGUAGGAAUACAAUACCUGUAUUUGAAUACGACAUCACUCAACAACGACGCAUUAACUCGUAUUGUAUUCGGACCCAGCGGACCACAUAUAAUUGAAUUGUUCAUUGAUCAGACACGUGUUGAUGUUAAAGGCGUGAGGGCGGUAUAUCAGCGUUGUUGCAGCCUUCAUAUUUUAAUAUAUUACAACCCACAAGGCCAAGAUGAUUUGGCGUACCUAAUGUCUUGCAAAGAAUUGGAUUUAAAAAAUAAACUUGGAAAAGUUACAAAAGUACACACUGUGGGGAAUAGCGUUUUGUAAAUAGGAAGUUAAGAAAGCGCUUAAUCCUUCACUUUAAUUGUACUGGAAAUGUAUUUACACAAUUCGCAUUCCAAAUAUUAGAAAUAAUGAAAAAAAGGAUAAAAACGGAGAUUAAACUAAUUUAAACCAAAAAUAAAGAAGAUUGUUCUAUUAUAUAGAUCACAGUUAAACA
RNA transcript from Diorhabda carinulata, 1816 nucleotides. RefSeq lists it as uncharacterized. The transcript is spliced from 4 exons. The record is from RefSeq and is a predicted model, not a curated record. Lineage: Eukaryota; Metazoa; Arthropoda; Insecta; Coleoptera; Chrysomelidae.